This is an RNA transcript of Anolis sagrei ordinatus, 12314 nucleotides long. It is a transcript of the gene named prune homolog 2 with BCH domain, with no coding region annotated. Lineage: Eukaryota; Metazoa; Chordata; Lepidosauria; Squamata; Anolidae. The record is from RefSeq and is a predicted model, not a curated record.
GACUUUGCCCUGCAUGAUCGGGACCCGCAGGGCCAGCAAGAAGCAGCAGACACAACAACAACAUGGAAGAUUUUCUGCAGCGCAGCAAAACCAAGCUGAGUCGAAGCAAAUACUUAGAUAAAGUGCAUGUAGUCCUGGGAAAGAAGUCCUGUGAUUUGGAUUCUCUUAUUUCUGCUUUGACAUAUGCCUACUAUCUUGAAAAGGUCAGUCCACCCAACAUUCUUUGCUUGCCUGUACUGAACAUAACAAGAAAAGAAUUCUGCUACCAUACAGAAACUAAGUUUAUUUUGGAAGAGUUGAAUAUUCCAGAGUCUCUUCAUGUUUUUUGUGAUGACAUCUAUUUGAAUCAGCUUAACAAUGAAGGGAAGUUGUCUCUUACACUUCUGAACAGUAGUGCACUGACAAGUGAAGAUAAAAGUUUGGAAUCAGCUGUUGUCAGAGUCAUUUGCCCCGAAGCGCAGUGUGAUGGCAAUGUGGAGUUAGUCGAAUCAACUUCCUCCUUAGUAGCAAAAGAGCUUCUUCAAAAGGCUCCGGAGUUAAUCACUCUGCAACUGGCUCAUCUUCUCAGAGGAAGCAUUCUCUCUAAAGUCAUAGCCAUGGAUCUUGAGAAAAUUACAGAAGAACAAGAACAAGUGCUUUCCAGUUUGGAGGAGAAAUUCCCAGAGCUGUUACCUCGAGAGGAUAUUAUCACAGUGCUGCAGGGGGCUCAGCUUCAAGCAGAUGGGCUAAGGAUUGAGGAGGCUAUGCUCAAGGAUCUCAAAGAGGUGUCAGAUGGAGAGAUAAAAGUAGCAGUUAGUACUGUGUAUAUGAAUCUAGAGGACUGCCUCUUGCACAGAAAUAUAACUGGAGAUUUAAAAGCAUUUGUGGACAAAUAUGGCUUUGAUGUCCUUGUCAUUUUGGCCAGAUACUUAUCAGAAGAGGAGCAAGAAAAAAGGCAAAUAGCUGUUUAUUCAGAAAACAUGGAGCUGGGAAAUCAGAUAUGUUGUGAGCUAGAAGAAUGUCAGAAUCCUUGCCUGGAACUGGAUCCUCUGGAAUAUGGAUGUGACCAACUGCUCCUUUAUCAGCAAGAAAAUUCUACAGCAAAUUGCAAUGAAAUUUUUCUGCUAAUGAAAGAUGUUAUCACCAGAAGACACCCAGAGAUGUUAGCAAACAGUAGGACAUCUUCCACUGAAGCUGUUGCUGGAAGUGCGCCACUUUCCCAAGGGUCUUCUGGAAUCGUUGAAUUGUAUGGUUCUGAUAUUGAACCUCAGUCAAAUGUUGUCAACUUUAUAGAUAACCCUCAAGAUCAUAAUGGAUCUGCUCAAGUCCAUGCUGACAUUAAUGUGGAUCUUGUGAGUCCAGACAGUGGACUUGCUACUAUCAGAAGCAGCAGGUCUUCCAAGGAAAGCUCGGUUUUUCUUAGUGAUGAUAGCCCAGUAGCUGAGGGGGCUGCAUCUCAUCACAGCUUCCUCUCUGGCUUUGACUCUUAUAGCCCUAUUCCUGAAGGAGCAGUAGCUGAAGAAAAACCUCAGUCUACAAACAGCAGUGACAAUUUUGAUUUUUUCAAUUUUGAUUUACCACCAAUGACUGCAGUUCAGACAGAGUCUUCUCAUUCUGUGGACUGCUCCCUUGGUGAUGAUUUCUCCCAUGACAGUGGCUCAUCAGAAGGACAGCAGCAAGCUGACACAAAAAUACAUGAUGAGACCAAUUCAUCCGAAUAUGACAUUUCAAAUUAUUCAGCUGAUUUGCCAAUGACAAGAAAUGAAGACAAUGACAUAGUAAAAUUUAAUGAGCACGAAAACCAGCAAGAAAAUCCUAGAGAUUUUACUGAAACAAAAGCAAGUUUGAUUGCCUUGGAAAAUGAUUCUCCGCCUUCUUCCGAAUUGAUGAAAACUGCUGAGAGAAGGACUCCACCAACCCCAAUGAACAGCCUUGUGGAUACAUCACCUUUAGAUAGUGGGCCACCUUUACUUUAUCCACAAGAUGUAAUUAAAAAAAUUAAUGAAAUUAAUUAUGUGAAUCCUCCAUCUCGUGUUAGAUAUGGCAGUUGGUGGGAAGGCUAUGAAUUAGAUUCAAAAGAUGCUGCUACAUGGAGGUCAGCUGAUACAGAAGCUGUAUUUCAGAAUCCUGAUUCAUGGAAAGAUCAUAAAGCAAGUCUACACUUGGGACAAGAAACUGACAGAAGAGCGUCCGAUUCUGUCUAUGUGCAAAAACAACGGGAGCAUCUGGAAUUUUGGGAUGAUCAACUUAGUCCUAUCCAGAAUGAGUUUACUUUGGAAAACAAUGAAAAAGGCAAUGGGCAACAAAGGGAAAUUUUUUCUAGCAUGUGGAAAUCCAAUCAACCAAUGCCUUCAAGAACUGAUAAAUGGGAUAAUACCAACCAUCACAGUGGAUACGUGGAAACUAAUUCACCUAAUGUUUGGUCAAAGCCAGAUUGUGAUGUUUCUGAACUUUCUGAGGAUGCCUGGAAUGUUCCUCCAGUAGAUUUUGAUCACAUUUCACAAAGGAAUUGCGAUACAUGGUCUGUGUCUAAACAUUUGCCAGAACUCUCUGGAGAAGGUGAAUAUGAAAAGCUAACCAAUCAAGUGGAUUUACAAUCCAAAAUUAAAGAUAAUCAAAGUUCAAUAGAUAACUGCAGAACAUAUACAAAUACACAAUCUCACAUUAAUAAUAUGCAGAAGAAUGUUAAAUUGACCUUGGAAUACCAAAACAACACUGUGGAAAAAUCCAAACAAGUUGACAGCAUUGAAGGAUGGGAUGUAUCUGACUCAAACAUGAGAGAAAAUAUACUUGUCUCCUGGGAAGAUCCCUUCCUGUCAUACAGAGAUCCAGACUUCAUCACAUCAAAUACAUGUGAUGACUUAGUUGUUUCUCCACCAGAUACAAAUUAUUCAACCUCUGAUUCCUACAUAUCACCAUCAGGAACUGGAGAUGAAAAAGAAGGUGAAGGAAAGAUUUCUCACCAAGAACCCAUCUUUGAUAAAAUGAUAAAUUCAAACUCAAGUGAACAUGAAAGAUAUGAUAUAACAGAGAAGAAAACAUUGCCUCAACCAUCUCCUAUACCUUCAUUUGAUACUGGUUGGAAAGACAGAGGUCCCGAGAACCAAACAGAACCUAAACAUUCUAAGGUCAACUUUAUAACAAACACUAUUUCACAGCAUUUAGAACAACAAGGUGCCACACAUUUUUCAGGUGACUACUGUGUUGAUGAAAGCAGUCCUUCUAGCUCUGAAGACUGUGGAUUAAUUGUGACUUCUGCACACAGAAGUCAUUCACUUUUAGGUAAUAUUAAACACAAGUCCAAAGAAAAAGCUGAAACAACUAGUGGAGACUUUUCUAAUGACACCAAUGACAGGGAGAGCACUAUUGCAGUUAAUAGUGGAAUAAAAAGAACUGAACAAACAGAGCAGGACAGUGAGCUUCUAGACAAACGUUUAGAUCAGUGGAAUCAGCAACUUCAAUGCAGUCAAGAGUCUGGACUAGAACAUAUUGAUGCUUCUUCUGCCUCAGCACAAAAAGUUGAGGAAUGUAAAAGGAGGAAUGAUGAAAGAAGUGAACAUGAUAUUUUUGACAGUAUUAAAAAUGAAUUAACACAGAAUGAUAGCACACCACCAUCAUCUUUACUUAUUCUGUCAUAUGUUAGUAAUUCAGAUGAAAGCAAGACAGUGCCUGAUGAUCCUAGGUCAUCUGAAAAAACAAGAGAGAGUGGAAAUCCCAAAGAAGCAGCAAAACCAUCAGACAUAAGCACACUAUUUCCUAAUUGGACUUAUCCUGUCAAUGAGGACAAGAAAGAAAACCCCCCAGAUAGCAAUAUAGAUUGCUUUACUAUGUCUUCCAAAAAUGGUAGCAAACCUUUGGUUCAUCUUGAUAUCACUGAUGAUUUAAAAUACAGUUUAAAUGUGGCAUUGACAUCAGUCCAGAAAUGUUUUGAUCAGGAUUUGACCCCGCAAAAGACUCCUGAGCUGGAAAGGCCUUCUCUAGGUUCCAUGGAAAAGGUGAACAAUCAAGAAAAGCUUUCUGUAAUAUUUGUUGAGAAUGAAGACCAAUGGGAUACAUUGGGGAAGAGUGUGUCUGAGUCAUCAGAUCUUUUGCUACACGAUGAAACACCACUACCAGAAAGAGGACAACAGGGAUAUUUAUAUGAAGAGAUAAUAUCUAAUUUGAAUGUCAGGUCUUCUUCUUUGGAAGAUAUAAAUCAAGAAAAAUCAACCGAUAUUCCACAAAAUCCAGAUGUAGAAUAUACUAAAUAUGCAACAGGGACACCUACAAUAAGUAAUUCAGUUUCUUAUAAAAUGGAUUAUGUUGAAAGAGAUGAAACUUUUGAAAGUCUAGAAUCUGAAAAUAAAGUGUCAAACAAGACAUAUAUUGACGUUAUACCUCAUCAUGAAUUGUCCCAAAUUCUGGAUGCUUGGAAUGUAACAGUGAAUGAACAAGCACAUUCUGUUGUUGUAAGCCCCAAAAUAAAAGAAAUACUUGAAAAAUCAGAUACCACAUACACUCUCCCUGCAGAUAUUGACGUCAAAGGCAAUUUCAUUCAUGACAAUACACAUUCAUGUGCUACAACUCCAGAUUUCAGUGAUUCUUCUACAAAUAUGCAUACUUGGAACAGCUUGCAAACAGCUAUUACUGAAAAAGGAAAUGCAGAGGAUUUGGAUAUUACAAAUGGUAAAAUAGAAGCAUAUGAAAAAGAAUUGCUUGAGAAUAAAAGCCAAGAAGAUUCUGAGACAAGCACUGAUCACAAAGUUCCAAAAAACUUAGACCUUUGGAAUACUCACAUAGAGGAUGAUACAGUUUCUUCUUUAUCAAGUCCUGGAUUAGAUGAAUAUUCAGAAUAUUCAAAUGUACAUGAGUCAGGAAAACUAUCAGAUGUAAAUCCUGAUCAACUGGAGGAAGAUAUGAUAGCUCAGGAAUCUUUGUAUUGCUGUGGAACAAACCCAGAAGCUAAUUCCGAAAGUUCAGAUGCUUGGGCCAGUUUGGAACAAAAUCUAGUUGCAUUUAAUAAAUGUUCUGAAGGUGAUGGUACCUGUAAUACUUCAACAAAGGAUUAUUUUUAUGAACCCUCUGAGCAUUUAGCACACUGGGAAACUCAGGAUGACAUACAUGACCAAACCUUAACUAUAACUCAUGAAAAGGAAUAUGCAUCAAAGACUUCAGAUGCAUGGGAUUUACUACUCCAUGGUCAUUCUGAAAGUUCAUUAGACACACCUCAGAAGUCCACAGUUGAAGAUCUUGGGUUUCCAAAUGAUUCUUCAGAAUGGUGGGAUUUGCAAAAACAAGGUGACAAUUCAGUGGGUCAAGUAUUUAAUACCAGUUAUGAUUUUGAAAUGAAUGAUUCCAUAACCACAGGCCAUUAUGUUUUGGGAGUACUCACAGAAAGAAGUGAAAACCUUGAAGAACUAAAUGCUGCAAUCGAUGAAAAUGAAUCCACUCCAUAUCAUAGUGAAGGCGAAUAUGAAAAUGGAGAACACUCCUUGGAUAAACCACCAGAAGGUUCAGAUCAUGUUUCUGUAAACUUUGAAGAGUAUGAUUCACAAUCAUACAACAAUGAAGGGGAUGUUAAGCAAGAACCUUUUGCUUCUGUUGUUAGUGACCAGGAAUAUCUUAAACAAGUUCAUGAAGAAGACUGGAAGUCAAGCCUGUUUAAUGCACUUGCUCAGGUAGAUCCCAAGCUUGGUCUGUUACAAGAUAAUUUGAAUAUAGCUUCUAGUGAUCCAAGCGCAAUAAACAUAGGAGACCCAUAUACUCAAACUCCAUUAGAUUCACAUGACAUAUCUUUGCCAAAUACUACACAACCUCUAACAGUAAGUACACCCAGCCCAAACUUUGAUGAAGACAGAGUACCAUUUGAAAAUGCAUUUGUUCCAGAUAUAUUACAAAAUAACAAUCCUGUAGACAGUCAGGGAUUCACUGUUGAUCCAGAUUUGUGGAAUGUUGUAGAACAGCCUUUCAAUCUGAGAACAAACAAAGAAAAUCCUGAUAUAUUAAGUCACUGUGAUCAAGAUAGCAGUUCACAGGCCUCAAGCAGUCCUGAUGUUUGCCACGAAUAUGAAAACAAGCAAACAUGUGCUCAGUCUUCUGUCCUAUCUGAGCCUGACAAUGCUACUCAUAUGUCUCCAAUGCUGUCAGAUAUGGACAGAGAUACAGACUUUUAUUUUAAUCAGAAGCUGGUGAUUGACAGAGAAGAGAUACAUCCUGAAGGAAAUGGUUCAUGCCUUCCAGAUAAUUUUGAGGCAAACAUUGAGGAGUCUAACCAGCUGUCAACUAGUAGAAUGGAAGAACCACUUGAAAAUGGAAUGGUAAAUGUGCAGAUUUCUGACACAGAAAACAAAAAAUCUUUUGAAGUAGACAAUUUGCCAAGUAUAGAAAGUAUAGAAGCAGUAUCUCUAAAUCUAGAUAAUUGUGCAUUUGAAAAGAAAAGCAUUGAAGAAAAGGAAGUCUCUGCUUUUGUAGAUAAAUCUAUGUGUCCUGCUGUUGCUCCUGUUUUGCCUAUAGAUGAUUCUGUAAGUGAUCCCUUUGCUGAUGGUAAUCAGUUUUCAGACUUUGACCAUAUAACAGGGAAUGAUGAUCAACAAGAAGUAUCAGAUAUCCAUGUUAAUGAUGAAAUUGUAAUAGAACACAGCAUCAGUAAGACAGCAAUUGCCAAUAGCCCAACUGUCAUAGUAAAUGCAAGUAAUUCUUUGGCAAUCAUAGACGAUGAAAGUACAGAAAUACAUACAAGAUCCACACAGUUGCAUUCAUUGCAGGCCUCCAUAGAAGAAGAGAUGGAAGAUUUUGUGUAUGAUACAGGAAGCCAAAAUGUUACUGAAAUUUUACAAGAACCUGAAAAUAUACAGGAGAAUCACAGCCCGUGGUUUGCAGAAUCACCUGAUAGACAUUCACCAUAUGCAUGUACUUCUCCAUUUGAUGUAGCAUUUGGUGCAGAAUACACUCAUCAAGAAGGUGACACGAACAUUUCAGAAUGUGACCCUAAGGAUAUAAAAGAUGAAAGUUCUCAAGUUGAUCAUAGUUGGGGAUCCCUGUUAAUAGAAUCUGAUGGAACUCCUGGAUCUUCUUGCACUUUGAAAAAAUUUGAGUAUGAAACAGAUUCAAGUAAUAUUGAAUCACCAACAGGUGACAAUGACAUUAACAUUUUGAAAUCUAAAGAUAUUGCUUUCCGAGGUGAAGUUGCAGAAUGUGUUCAAGAAGAUCAAGGUUGGGAUUCACUUUUGCUGGAAUCUGAUGAACAUUCAAACGUAUCGAAAGAAUUUGCACAUGGGACAAAUUCAAGUCAUAUUGAUUCCCGAGUUGGUGAAGGUGAAAUUAAUCUUUCAGAAGCUGUACAUAGUCAUACUAAUCCCAAAGCCAGAGGAUAUUCUCAAGAAGAUCAAGACUGGGCUUCUUUGUUGGAACCUGAAAUAACUCCCAUGUCGUCUGACUCUUUGAAAAAAUUCAAGUAUGAAGCAGAAUCAGUUCAUAUUAGUUCACCAGCAGAUGGAGUUGUAUGCCUGGACAAUGAAGCUGCCUGUGAUAUACUUAGUAGUGAUCUUAAAAUGUCUACAUCCACAGAGAGGACAAGUGAAGAAAGGAAGGAAGCUACAGUGUUAAACGAAGUGGAAGAUCAGUCUUCACUGGAGAUGGAUUAUGUCCUCAUUAGUGGUGAAGAAAAUGUACCUUUGAGGAAGGAUAUCUUGGUAACAGGAGAAAGCAAUUUCACUUCGCAGGAAGCUACAGCAGUGGCAGAACAAACAGAUUCUCUUCAAACCUUUUCACCAGACUCCUCGGAUACAUUUCAGUCAAUCUCCAUAAUAAAUGGAAGUGAAGGGCAGCCUACUUUGGAGACUGAAUGGGAUUCUUUUCAUUUUGAAGAGAAAUGUGCUGCUGUUGUACCUCAAAAACUGGGAGAUGAAAAGAAAGCAUCCAGAAGCCUUGUGCAAGAUCAGGAAUGGACUAUGGUGGGCCAACAUGGAGCGGAUGAUGUAUCCCCUGAAGAAAACUAUAGCAAGGCAGACACAAUGCAGCCACUGUGUGGAAAUCCUGUUAAAGAAUUAGAAGAUGUUUUAAUUCAGGAAUUGGUUUCUGAGACACAAAUAGAAACACUACUAGACAGAAGCUCUCACAAAUUACUGGAGCAAGAGGAUGAGAUUUCACACAAUGGAAAAACAGGUGCUCUUUUAUUUCAGAGUGGUGAUGGUAAUGGUGAUUUGGAAGACCAUUCACAACUUCCUAAAGAUGGCAUGGUAAUAGAGCAAGAAUUGGACCAGGAGAUUCAACUUGCUGACAGAGAGGAAGAAUACAGUCAUAUAACAGGAUUAGUCCCAGAGGAUGAGGGAAUGGAUAGCCCCUUCAGUGAGGCUGUGCUAAACUCCAGUGCUGCAGAGAUGAGACCUGAACCUCCUAACUCUCUAGAUCUUGAUGGCUCCAACCCCAGACGGAUAAAGCUCACUGCUCCAAAUAUCAAUCUCUCUUUGGACCAGAGUGAAGGCUCUCUCCUUUCAGAUGACAACCUGGACACUCCAGAUGAAAUUGAUAUCAAUGUAGAUGAUCUUGAAACCCCAGAUGAAGCUGAUUCUUUUGAAUAUACUGGACAUGAGGAGCAGCCAGUCUCUAAGGAAAUUUCUCAGGAGGCAUCUGAUUCAAUCCCAGAGUAUACUGCAGAAGAAGAAAGAGAGGACAACAGGUUGUGGAGAACAGUUGUCAUUGGGGACCAGGAACAGAGGAUUGAUAUGAAAGCAAUCGAACCAUAUAAAAAGGUCAUUUCUCAUGGAGGAUACUAUGGUGAUGGUGUAAAUGCCAUCAUUGUGUUUGCUGCAUGUUUUCUACCGGACAGCAGCCGAACUGAUUACCACUAUGUCAUGGAAAACCUUUUCCUAUAUGUAAUAAGUACUUUGGAACUCAUGGUAGCUGAAGACUAUAUGGUUGUUUACUUGAAUGGAGCAACACCAAGGAGAAGGAUGCCAGGCCUAGGUUGGAUGAAAAGAUGCUACCAGAUGAUUGAUAGGCGGUUAAGAAAGAAUUUGAAAUCUUUCAUCAUUGUUCAUCCUUCUUGGUUUAUCAGAACAAUUCUAGCAGUAACACGGCCUUUUAUAAGCUCAAAAUUCAGCAGCAAGAUACAAUAUGUGAGCACUUUGGCAGAGCUUAGUGAACUAAUUCCAAUGGAAUAUGUAAAUAUCCCAGAAAGUAUUGUCAAACUGGAUGAAGAGCUGAGGGAAGCAUCAGCAAAGUAAGACGGCAUUCUGAGCAAGCUGUCUUUCAAAUGACCCAGAGAUUACUUCAGUACAGCAGGAUGUCGACAUGAAGCUGAACGGAAAUUCCUAACUUUCUUGGCAACCUGAAAAAGAGACAUUUCCUCUGUUUGAUGUGCCUGAGCAUUGAGGAUGGGGACAAUUUUGGCUUCUCAAGUCAAAUACAAUCCUCCAGAAUCUUCUUGUUCACAAGUCUCAUCAUGACCAUGAGACCUAUAUGUGCAAGAAACUUUCCUGGUUGAUUGUACUCUUUGUUUGAUCUUUCAGUGCCAUUCAGUGCUUUCUAAGGUAAAGGGGGAUGGAAGCAGUCUCAUUCCUGUUGCUACUAGACAGAGAGCUACAGGUGGAUUAUGGUUUUAUGUAAUCUUAACUUCAGAAAUGUUGCCUGCAAUAAUGAUUCUGUCUGCUUUUUUCAAUUCCAUGUUGCUUGACCAUUAAUGUGCCUCAUAUAUGAUUUUAUAGAUUCAGUUAGUUCCAUUUCAUCUUCAGCAUAUUAGCAUUUCUGCGCAUAGCUGAACUAGAGGUAUGAUGCUCCCUAUAACAAAACUAAGGGAUUUUUGACAUACGUGUCCCAAUCCUUUACAGUGUGCAUCAGAGGGACUCUGGGGGCCCUCCCACAGAGGCCCCAAAAUGCAGAAGAAACCGGGAUAAAAGGAGUGUGUGGCUACAUGACAUUUGUCAAAAAUGUGUACUGGAUCACAUCAAUGGUUGAAAAGCACAUGUUAAAAAGGUGUGCUUAAAAUUUGAUUUCGUCCAAAAAUAUGCAUAUUCACAUCACUGUAUAUCCCUGCAAUCAUCUCAAAUUCUUGUGCGGACUGCUCUGGUGCGAAAUUCCAAAACAGCUGAUGAGGGCUGCAGACAAGUGAACACACAGGUGGCUAAAUGGAAGCACAAAUGGAAAGCAAUUCCCACAAGAACUCUCUGCAACCAUUCCUUUGUUCUGAUGUUUAUGAAAUUAAACAGAGAUUGGAUUUACACAGUGGGCACCAGCACAGCAGGCAAGUGACCCCAAAGGGAAGCGGGAUUCAAGGGGGAAAAAGUAAAGGUAGCAGGAGGGUGAUGAGAUAUAAUGACAAGAAAUCUAUUUGUGUGCACAUUAGUAUAUCAUCAUUAGUGCUUAUGAGGUCCAGCACAUCAUGGAGAGUCAAUAAAACUAAAUUAAAAGUAAACUUACAGCAGAUGUCAUGUGUCUAUCUUGUGGAUUUCCAAACUCUGCUACAACUCAAUCUGUCAGGGCGCCAGGGGAGCAUUUACUGGGACUGAGCUCCAUGUCUUGACUCUCCUUAAGAUACUGAGAUUUUUUUGCCCCACUUAUUUGUCCCGCAUUUUGAUACUGUCUAAAAGCAAGAGUCCCACAUCUUGUGGAGCACCAUUAGUAUUUCACAAAACUUGGGUUUUCAAUAUUAAUUGUUUGUUAUGUGAUUUCAUUAAAAGUGUUUAGAAUUCAUUUCCUAUCACAGUGCCUAUAUUUCAGACACUAUGCAGGACCACUUUUGAAAUUACUAUGCCCUGAAUAAGAAGGAUAUAUAUUUUUUGUAGUUGUGAGGAUGCAGACAUAACCAAGAAAAAAAUUAAUGAAGCUUCUAUACAAGCUAAUCAUUACAAGAGAACCUGAAACCAUGUACAGAUGGUAAUGAGAACAUAGACUGAAAUAUAUUAAGUAUGGGUCAGAUGAACAGCUGAUAUUUUGAAACAUCUUUGGAAUGGGGAAAUGAAAGGUCUGCUCUAACUGAAUUUCUGUACUAAUUAUCACCACCAACAAUACAUCAACACUUCUUGGUAGUUAUAGAACAAAAUAGUGACAGAAAAACACACAUUCCUUUAAGGAGAAAGACAUACACAUUCUGAAACAUACUUGGUUUUCAAAUGGUGGUGAUCAAUGGGUCCAUUUGACAGAUCUAAUAUAGAUAGCCAUGCAUUGUAUAUGCCUCAUUUAAUCAAAAAUGUAAGGUAAUAGACUUUACAAUUAAGUAUAAUAAACUUAAUAAGUCGCCAGUCAUUGCCAUUCUACUGUAUAAAUAUAGUUUUAAGUAGAUUUAGGUAUAAAUCAAUGGUAUCUGGAGCCAUUGUUAUGAUUAACCAUAAUAAGUCAUUAAUCAUUAAUAGUCAGGAUGCAGAACCAGAGUGGUAAAGCAAAAUCCUGUGGUAGCCAUUCUUUCUAGUUACAUAUUACUUAGAUUCAUAAUGGACCAUUCAAAUAAUAACUAUUGGCGAUCUGUGCAUUAUUCUGAUUUUUUCCCCAUAUAGAGGGUAGCAACUAUUUUUAUCUGGACAAUAGUAAAAUGUUUUCCAGAGAAUGCAAACAUCUGUGCUUGCUUUUUGUAUUUUUGAUUUUUGGUGUGCGUGCACAUCAAAUUUUAUCCACAUACAUACACACACAAAUUGUAUUAUUGACUAUUCAUUCAUGAAAUUGAUACAUGUGUCAGCCCAUAUCUGCAUCAUUAAUUCCAACAUAUCUGUGUUAAUUUGAUUAUUUUGAUCCUGUACAUGAACUUGUGAUAGAAACAGAAUACUUGGAUUUUUCUUUUAUGUGUGAGAGGUGGGUUUCCUUUGGCCCUAUAGUUGUUUGGGACUUCUUAAAACCACAAGCAACAUGUUGGGAUUUGUAGUUCUAAACACUUGGAAGGCCAAAGGUGAUCAUCCCAGAUAUACUUCAGAUUCUUGUUAAUUAAAUUUGGUUUUCCUAUAGAAGAAGAUAUUUCUGGAAGAGAUAUACAUAAGAUAUAGGUUAACACACACAGACAAACCGGACUGAAUGCAGUUUAAUGGAAAGAAACAAGUAGAUAUCCUUGGAGCCAGAUCUUAUGGGAAGAGUGAUGAGGCAAAGCAAUUGUGUCUUCUCUUCAUCGUUCCUUCCAUAAUAACUAGUCCUCAAGGCCUUUAUAGAGCCAAGACCUUAACAGAAAGACUACUGUACAAGGCCUGAAUUGUCAUGACUGCUGUAGUGCAGUGGCGGGAUGUUCCACUUCUCAUUUUGAGUAAUGAGAAAGCUAUGAUUGAUCCUGCAAGGUAAAGAAUUAUUUUUAUUGAAAUGUUGGGGGAUAUUUUGCUUUUGUCUUUUUCUGCAUAUCUGUCAACCAUACAUUAAAGGAAACCAUGGUUUCUGCUCUUCGA